RNAcentral lists this ribosomal RNA (472 nucleotides) under uncultured bacterium. RNAcentral describes it as "bacterial SSU rRNA". It matches the Rfam family "Bacterial small subunit ribosomal RNA", at positions 28 to 507 of the family's 1533-position model. The record is from RNAcentral.
GAUGAACGCUGGCGGCGUGCUUAACACAUGCAAGUCGAACGAAGAUGCCGGAGUGCUUGCACUUUGGCAGACUGAGUGGCGGACGGGUGAGUAACGCGUGGGUAACCUGCCUUAUACAGGGGGAUAACAGUUGGAAACGACUGCUAAUACCGCAUAAGCGCACGGUAUCGCAUGAUACAGUGUGAAAAACUCCGGUGGUAUAAGAUGGACCCGCGUCUGAUUAGCUUGUUGGUGAGGUAACGGCCCACCAAGGCGACGAUCAGUAGCCGGCCUGAGAGGGUGAACGGCCACAUUGGGACUGAGACACGGCCCAAAACUCCUACGGGAGGCAGCAGUGGGGAAUAUUGCACAAUGGGGGAAACCCUGAUGCAGCGACGCCGCGUGAGUGAUGAAGUAUUCGGUAUGUAAAACUCUAUCAGCAGGGAAGAUAAAUCGACGGUACCUGACUAAGAAGCACCGGCUAAAAUACGUG